RNAcentral lists this unclassified non-coding RNA (278 nucleotides) under plant metagenome. RNAcentral describes it as "partial contains small subunit ribosomal RNA and internal transcribed spacer 1". The stretch from base 1 to 46 matches the Rfam family "Eukaryotic small subunit ribosomal RNA", at positions 1786 to 1831 of the family's 1831-position model. The record is from RNAcentral.
AAGUCGUAACAAGGUUUCCGUAGGUGAACCUGCGGAAGGAUCAUUAAUGAUAGACCCAAACGAUGAAACGUGAAGUACCGGGGAUACCAAAAACGCCCCGGGGGACCCCCGAUCUGCGCGUUCCCUUGCUGUCUUAGCCUUCCCCAUAAGACUAGGGGCAACCCGAAAAGACAGCAUGAAAAAACAUCCUGUGCACCUGUACUACCCCCAUUAAUGAAUAUAGUCUUAUGAUUUCUCCGAUUCUUUACCGGACCGGUUGAAUAAUAAUGUAUAAAUAA